GACGAACGCUGGCGGCGUGCCUAAUACAUGCAAGUAGAACGCUGAAGGAGGAGCUUGCUUCUCCGGAUGAGUUGCGAACGGGUGAGUAACGCGUAGGUAACCUGCCUGGUAGCGGGGGAUAACUAUUGGAAACGAUAGCUAAUACCGCAUAAGAGUAGAUGUUGCAUGACAUUUGCUUAAAAGGUGCAAUUGCAUCACUACCAGAUGGACCUGCGUUGUAUUAGCUAGUUGGUGGGGUAACGGCUUACCAAGGCGACGAUACAUAGCCGACCUGAGAGGGUGAUCGGCCACACUGGGACUGAGACACGGCCCAGACUCCUACGGGAGGCAGCAGUAGGGAAUCUUCGGCAAUGGACGGAAGUCUGACCGAGCAACGCCGCGUGAGUGAAGAAGGUUUUCGGAUCGUAAAGCUCUGUUGUAAGAGAAGAACGAGUGUGAGAGUGGAAAGUUCACACUGUGACGGUAUCUUACCAGAAAGAGACGGCUAACUACGUG
This 495-nucleotide ribosomal RNA is filed under the name uncultured bacterium. RNAcentral's name for it is "partial 16S ribosomal RNA". It matches the Rfam family "Bacterial small subunit ribosomal RNA", at positions 28 to 507 of the family's 1533-position model. The record is from RNAcentral.